RNAcentral lists this ribosomal RNA (709 nucleotides) under uncultured bacterium. Its description in RNAcentral is "bacterial SSU rRNA". It matches the Rfam family "Bacterial small subunit ribosomal RNA", at positions 28 to 739 of the family's 1533-position model. The record is from RNAcentral.
GAUGAACGCUAGCGGGAGGCUUAAUACAUGCAAGUCGAGCGGUAAGGUUUUCGGACCCUAGAGCGGCGAACGGGUGAGUAACGCGUACGAAACCUACCUUUAAGAGAGGAAUAGCCCUGGGAAACUGGGAGUAAUACCUCAUAGUAUUCAUUUACCGCAUGGUUUAUGGAUUAAAGCUACGGCGCUUAAAGAUGGUCGUGCGUCUGAUUAGCUAGUUGGUAGGGUAACGGCCUACCAAGGCUACGAUCAGUAGGGGGCGUGAGANCGUGGNCCCCCUCACGGGUACUGAGACACGGACCCGACUCCUACGGGAGGCAGCAGUAAGGAAUAUUGGGCAAUGGACGCAAGUCUGACCCAGCCAUCCCGCGUGCAGGACGAAUGCCCUAUGGGUUGUAAACUGCUUUUGUUUGGGAAGAAAUGUAUUCUUUUAAGAGUAUUUGACGGUACCAGACGAAUAAGCACCGGCUAACUCCGUGCCAGCAGCCGCGGUAAUACGGAGGGUGCAAGCGUUAUCCGGAAUCACUGGGUUUAAAGGGUGCGUAGGCGGCCAGAUAAGUCAGAGGUGAAAGUUUCCGGCUCAACCGGGAGAUUGCCUUUGAUACUGUUUGGCUUGAAUCAGAUUGAGGUUGGCGGAAUGUGACAUGUAGCGGUGAAAUGCWWAGAUAUGUCAUAGAACAUCGAUUGCGAAGGCAGCUGGCCUGGAUCUGUA